Molecule: ribosomal RNA, 253 nt
Filed under: uncultured bacterium
Lineage: Bacteria
Description: partial 16S ribosomal RNA
Rfam family: Bacterial small subunit ribosomal RNA
Source: RNAcentral
UACGGAGGGUGCGAGCGUUAAUCGGAAUUACUGGGCGUAAAGCGCGCGUAGGCGGUUUGUUUAGUCGGAUGUGAAAGCCCUGGGCUUAACCUGGGAAUUGCAUUCGAUACUGUCUGACUAGAGUUUAGUAGAGGAAGGUAGAAUUCCAGGUGUAGCUGUGAAAUGCGUAGAUAUCUGGAGGAAUACCAGUGGCGAAGGCGGCCUUCUUGACUAAAACUGACACUGAGGUGCGAAAGCGUGGGUAGCAAACAGG